CCUACGGGUGGCAGCAGUGGGGAAUAUUGCACAAUGGGGGAAACCCUGAUGCAGCAACGCCGCGUGAGUGAAGAAGUAUUUCGGUAUGUAAAGCUCUAUCAGCAGGGAAGAAGAAAGACGGUACCCACAGAGGAAGCACCGGCUAACUCCGUGCCAGCAGCCGCGGGAAUACGGGGGGGGCAAGUGUUGUCCGGAAUCAUGGGGCGGAAAGAGUUCGUAGGCGGCACGUAAAGUCUGGUGUUAAAGGCAGAGGCUCAACUUCUGUACGGCACUAGAAACUUGCGAGCUAGAAUGCGGUAGAGGUAAAGAGAAUUCCUGGUGUAGCGGUGAAAUGCUUAGAUAUCAGGAGGAACAUCGGUGGCGUAAGCGCUUUACUGGGCCGUAAUUGACGCUGAGGAACGAAAGCCAGGGUAGCAAAUGGGAUUAGAUACCCCUGUAGUC
This 441-nucleotide ribosomal RNA is filed under the name uncultured bacterium. RNAcentral's name for it is "partial 16S ribosomal RNA". It matches the Rfam family "Bacterial small subunit ribosomal RNA", at positions 338 to 795 of the family's 1533-position model. The record is from RNAcentral.